This 72-nucleotide transfer RNA is filed under the name Loxodonta africana (African savanna elephant). It matches the Rfam family "tRNA". Rfam says of the family: Transfer RNA (tRNA) molecules are approximately 80 nucleotides in length. Their secondary structure includes four short double-helical elements and three loops (D, anti-codon, and T loops). Lineage: Eukaryota; Metazoa; Chordata; Mammalia; Proboscidea; Elephantidae. The record is from Rfam by way of RNAcentral.
CCCUGGGUGGUGUAAAAGGUUAACACAAUUGGCUGCUAACCAAAAAGUCAGAGGUUCGAGUCUACCCAGAGA